This 381-nucleotide ribosomal RNA is filed under the name uncultured eukaryote. Its description in RNAcentral is "partial 18S ribosomal RNA". It matches the Rfam family "Eukaryotic small subunit ribosomal RNA", at positions 592 to 976 of the family's 1831-position model. The record is from RNAcentral.
CAAUAGCGUAUAUUAAAGCUGUUGCGGUUAAAAAGCUCGUAGUUGGAUUUCUGUCAAGGACAACUGGUCCGCCCUCCGGGUGAGCACAUAGUUUGGUCUUGACAUCUUGCUGGAAACUGUUGCUGCACUUGGUUGUGUGGCGCAGCAUCCAGCACUUUCACUUUGAGGAAAUUGGAGUGUUUCAAGCAGGCACAUGCCUUUGGACACAGUAGCAUGGAAUAAUUAGAUUGGGCUUUUGCUCCAAUUUGUCGGUUUCUGGAGCUGAGGUGAGAAUUAAUGGGGAUUGUUGGGGGCAUCCGAAUUUAGCCGUCAGAGGUGAAAUUCUUGGAUCUGCUAAAGACGGACAACUGCGAAAGCGUUUGCCCAGGAUGUUUUCAUUGA